AAGAAAUUAGGUUCAAUCUUCAAACCGAGG
RNAcentral lists this transfer RNA (30 nucleotides) under Crocodylus palustris (marsh crocodile). RNAcentral describes it as "partial tRNA-Trp". Lineage: Eukaryota; Metazoa; Chordata; Crocodylia; Crocodylidae. The record is from RNAcentral.